GACGAACGCUGGCGGCGUGCUUAACACAUGCAAGUCGAACGGAAAGGCCCUGCUUGCAGGGUGCUCGAGUGGCGAACGGGUGAGUAACACGUGGGUGAUCUGCCCCUUACUUUGGGAUAAGCCUGGGAAACUGGGUCUAAUACUGGAUAGGACCAUGCUGUAGGUGGUGUGGUGGAAAGAUUAGUUUCGGUAAGGGAUGAGCUCGCGGCCUAUCAGCUUGUUGGUGGGGUAAUGGCCUACCAAGGCGUCGACGGGUAGCCGGCCUGAGAGGGUGGACGGCCACAUUGGGACUGAGAUACGGCCCAGACUCCUACGGGAGGCAGCAGUGGGGAAUAUUGCACAAUGGGCGCAAGCCUGAUGCAGCGACGCCGCGUGGGGGAUGACGGCCUUCGGGUUGUAAACUCCUUUCAGCCAUGACGAAGCCCUUGUGGUGACGGUAGUGGUAGAAGAAGCACCGGCUAACUACUUG
RNAcentral lists this ribosomal RNA (469 nucleotides) under uncultured bacterium. RNAcentral describes it as "partial 16S ribosomal RNA". It matches the Rfam family "Bacterial small subunit ribosomal RNA", at positions 28 to 507 of the family's 1533-position model. The record is from RNAcentral.